This 56-nucleotide transfer RNA is filed under the name Caenorhabditis wallacei. RNAcentral describes it as "tRNA-Ser". Lineage: Eukaryota; Metazoa; Nematoda; Chromadorea; Rhabditida; Rhabditidae. The record is from RNAcentral.
AAUGAGUUCAUAAAGCAAGUCUUCUAAAUUUGUUCUAGGUUAAAUCCUGCUCGUUU